GUGCUCACUUCAACAGCACGUAUACUAAAAUUGGAAAAAUACAGAGGUGAACAUGGCCCCCACAAAGAUGACAUGCAAAUUCAUGAAACAGUUCAUGUUUUU
This is a small nuclear RNA of Neogale vison (American mink), 102 nucleotides long. The record is from Ensembl. NCBI's taxonomy places the organism in Eukaryota, Metazoa, Chordata, Mammalia, Carnivora, Mustelidae.